AGAUUGAACGCUGGCGGCAUGCCUAACACAUGCAAGUCGAACGGGAGUAGCAAUACUCUAGUGGCGGACGGGUGAGGAAUACGUAGGAAUUUGCCCUUAAGUGGGGGAUAACCCGGGGAAACCCGGAUUAAUACCGCAUGACCUCGAAAGAGCAAAGUGGGGGAUCGCAAGACCUCACGCUUUUGGAGAAGCCUACGUCGGAUUAGCUAGUUGGUGAGGUAAUGGCUCACCAAGGCGACGAUCCGUAACUGGUCUGAGAGGAUGAUCAGUCACACCGGAACUGAGACACGGUCCGACUCCUACGGGAGGCAGCGAGUGGGGAAUAG
RNAcentral lists this ribosomal RNA (326 nucleotides) under uncultured soil bacterium. RNAcentral describes it as "bacterial SSU rRNA". It matches the Rfam family "Bacterial small subunit ribosomal RNA", at positions 26 to 364 of the family's 1533-position model. The record is from RNAcentral.